RNAcentral lists this ribosomal RNA (1001 nucleotides) under Paramesotriton caudopunctatus (Guizhou warty newt). Its description in RNAcentral is "partial 16S ribosomal RNA". The stretch from base 159 to 1001 matches the Rfam family "Bacterial large subunit ribosomal RNA", at positions 573 to 2037 of the family's 2925-position model. Lineage: Eukaryota; Metazoa; Chordata; Amphibia; Caudata; Salamandridae. The record is from RNAcentral.
UUAAAAUUGUAGCCAAACAAACCUAAACUACCAAAAAACAAAACAAACCAUUUAAUUUAAUAGUAUGGGCGAUAGAAAUUUGCUAUGAGCAAUAAAAAAGUACCGCAAGGGAAAGAUGAAAUAAAAAUGAAAUAAAUAAUAAAAACAAAGAAAAGAAAAGACUAAACCCUGUACCUUUCGCAUAAUGGUCUAGUAAGUUCAACCUAACAAAAAGAAAUAAAGUUAGCCACCCCGAAACUAGGCGAGCUACUUAAGAGCAGCAUAACCAGAGCUAACCCGUCUCUGUGGCAAAAGAGUGGGGCGACUUUUAAGUAGAGGUGAAAAGCCUAACGAGCCUAGUGAUAGCUGGUUGCUUGAGAAAUGAAUAUAAGUUCAGCUUAAAGUAUUUUUAAUUAUUAAAAAUAAAUAUGGCACUUUAAAGUUAAUUAAUAGGGGUACAGCCCUAUUAAUAAAGGAUACAACCUACAUAAUGAAUAAAGAUUAUAUUAACAAAAGAAAUUAACCAUGUAGGCCUAAAAGCAGCCACCAUAAGAAAGCGUCAAAGCUCAACUUACAAUCCUCCCCUUAUUAUACUAAUAAAAAAAUCUAAAUUCACAAAACAUAUCAAGCCUAUCUACUAGUAGAUGAGUUUAUACUAGAAUGAGUAACAAGAACAAAUUCUCUACAUGCAAGCGUAAAUCAGAACGAAAAAAUCACUGAUAAUUAACAAUUUAAAAUACUCAUCAACGAGAAAAACACAUUAAAACAAUUGUUAACCCAACACAGGAGCAUUAAAAAAGAUUUAAAGAUUAAAAAGGAACUCGGCAAUCACAGAGCUCCGCCUGUUUACCAAAAACAUCGCCUCUUGCCCCCCAAAUAUAAGAGGUCCCGCCUGCCCAGUGAUUAAUUUUAACGGCCGCGGUAUCAUGACCGUGCAAAGGUAGCGUAAUCACUUGUCUUUUAAAUAAAGACCUGUAUGAAAGGCAAAACGAAAGCUCAACUGUCUCUUUAAUCUAAUCAGU